Molecule: ribosomal RNA, 674 nt
Filed under: uncultured bacterium
Lineage: Bacteria
Description: bacterial SSU rRNA
Rfam family: Bacterial small subunit ribosomal RNA
Source: RNAcentral
GAUGAACGCUGGCGGCGCGCCUAACACAUGCAAGUCGAACGGCACCCCUCUCCGGAGGGAAGCGAGUGGCGAACGGCUGAGUAACACGUGGAGAACCUGCCCCCUCCCCCGGGAUAGCCGCCCGAAAGGACGGGUAAUACCGGAUACCCCGGGGUGCCGCAUGGCACCCCGGCUAAAGCCCCGACGGGAGGGGAUGGCUCCGCGGCCCAUCAGGUAGACGGCGGGGUGACGGCCCACCGUGCCGACAACGGGUAGCCGGGUUGAGAGACCGGCCGGCCAGAUUGGGACUGAGACACGGCCCAGACUCCUACGGGAGGCAGCAGUGGGGAAUCUUGCGCAAUGGGGGGAACCCUGACGCAGCGACGCCGCGUGCGGGACGGAGGCCUUCGGGUCGUAAACCGCUCUCAGGAGGGAAGAGUCAAGACUGUACCUGCAGAAGAAGCCCCGGCUAACUGCGUGCCAGCAGCCGCGGUAAUACGUAGGGGGCGAGCGUUAUCCGGAUUCAUUGGGCGUAAAGCGCGCGUAGGCGGCCCGGCAGGCCGGGGGUCGAAGCGGGGGGCUCAACCCCCCGAAGCCCCCGGAACCUCCGCGGCUUGGGUCCGGUAGGGGAGGGUGGUACACCCGGUGUAGCGGUGGAAUGCGCAGAUAUCGGGUGGAACACCGGUGGCGAAGGG